GCCCAUUUGAGCUCCAAGGAAACUAUAAGAACAGGAGUUAACAUGGCCGCCAUUCCCUAGGACCCCCCCUAAAGACAACUACCAGAUCCAGAAUGUAUGGCUUCCUCAAUCCGUGUGACUGAUCCAGGCCUUUGCUCAGGAGAGCGCUCUCCUCUUCCUCUUCCUGAAUGUGAGGAUUCUCCUGGCAUCUCCUGGGGAUUGCGAGCGAGUGCUGGUGGUCCAAGAGGACAAGGAAAAUAUUUGUGUGGAGGAGCAAAACUGCUAAAUGAAUUAUGAUCAGAGUUUAACAGUGAGCGGGAGAAUGUGUGGGAAAGCUCCGAAGCUCGACGGCCAUUGCGGAUUAAAGGAUCAUCACUUUCUGCAAACCACACCGCCCUCCAAACUUAACAGUAUCACAAUGCUUCUGGAAGCAAAACACAGCUAAUCCCCUGAAGAUAAUUCCACUGGUUCCUGCUCUCAGUCAGCGGAGAUGAGUGGGGUAGAAUUCAGACAAACAGCACGGAUCAUAAAAGCUGUCAAAUUAUUCUGAAGGUGAACACGCUGAGCCGGGCUUAUCUCUCGCUGGGGACAGUUUCAGUCUCAG
RNAcentral lists this long non-coding RNA (583 nucleotides) under Astyanax mexicanus (Mexican tetra). RNAcentral's name for it is "lncRNA (ENSAMXG00005023350.1)". Lineage: Eukaryota; Metazoa; Chordata; Actinopteri; Characiformes; Acestrorhamphidae. The record is from RNAcentral.